AUGAACGCUGGCGGCGUGCCUAAUACAUGCAAGUCGAGCGAACAGACGAGGAGCUUGCUCCUCUGACGUUAGCGGCGGACGGGUGAGUAACACGUGGAUAACCUACCUAUAAGACUGGGAUAACUUCGGGAAACCGGAGCUAAUACCGGAUAAUAUAUUGAACCGCAUGGUUCAAUAGUGAAAGACGGUUUUGCUGUCACUUAUAGAUGGAACCGCGCCGCAUUAGCUAGUUGGUAAGGUAACGGCUUACCAAGGCAACGAUGCGUAGCCGACCUGAGAGGGUGAUCGGCCACACUGGAACUGAGACACGGUCCAGACUCCUACGGGAGGCAGCAGUAGGGAAUCUUCCGCAAUGGGCGAAAGCCUGACGGAGCAACGCCGCGUGAGUGAUGAAGGUCUUCGGAUCGUAAAACUCUGUUAUUAGGGAAGAACAAAUGUGUAAGUAACUAUGCACGUCUUGACGGUACCUAAUCAGAAAGCCACGGCUAACUACGU
RNAcentral lists this ribosomal RNA (495 nucleotides) under uncultured bacterium. RNAcentral describes it as "partial 16S ribosomal RNA". It matches the Rfam family "Bacterial small subunit ribosomal RNA", at positions 29 to 506 of the family's 1533-position model. The record is from RNAcentral.